UGGGGAAUUUUGGACAAUGGGCGCAAGCCUGAUCCAGCAAUGCCGCGUGAGUGAAGAAGGCCUUCGGGUUGUAAAGCUCUUUUGUCAGGGAAGAAACGGUGAGGGCUAAUAUCCUUUGCUAAUGACGGUACCUGAAGAAUAAGCACCGGCUAACUACGUGCCAGCAGCCGCGGUAAUACGUAGGGUGCAAGCGUUAAUCGGAAUUACUGGGCGUAAAGCGUGCGCAGGCGGUUAUGUAAGUCAGAUGUGAAAUCCCCGGGCUCAACCUGGGAAUGGCAUUUGAGACUGCAUGGCUAGAGUGUGUCAGAGGGGGGUAGAAUUCCACGUGUAGCAGUGAAAUGCGUAGAGAUGUGGAGGAAUACCGAUGGCGAAGGCAGCCCCCUGGGAUAACACUGACGCUCAUGCACGAAAGCGUGGGGAGCAAACAGGAUUAGAUACCCGUGUAGUCCCUGAGCGGGCUGGCAAGGCGCAU
Molecule: ribosomal RNA, 472 nt
Filed under: uncultured bacterium
Lineage: Bacteria
Description: bacterial SSU rRNA
Rfam family: Bacterial small subunit ribosomal RNA
Source: RNAcentral